UAGUCCACGCCCUAAACGAUGCUUACUCGAUGUAUGUAUUUUUAUAUGUGCAUCCAAGGGAAACCGUUAAGUAAGCCACCUGGGGAGUACGUUCGCAAGAAUGAAACUCAAAGGAAUUGACGGGGGUCCGCACAAGCGGUGGAGCGUGUGGUUUAAUUCGAUGAUACGCGAGGAACCUUACCUGGGCUCUAAUGCGCGCGCUAUCUGCUGAAAGGCGGAGUUCCUUCGGGACGCAAAGCAAGGUGCUGCAUGUUGUCGUCAGCUCGUGCCGUGAGGUGUUGGGUUAAGUCCCGCAACGAGCGCAACCCCUAUUUUCAGUUGCCAGCACAUAAUGGUGGGGACUCUGGAAAGACUGCCGGCGUAAGCCGUGAGGAAGGUGGGGACGACGUCAAAUCAUCAUGGCCUUUAUGCCUAGGGCUACACACGUGCUACAAUGGCGGGUACAGAGGGCAGCGAAACCGCGAGGUGGAGCCAAUCCCAGAAAGCCCGUCCCAGUUCGGAUUGGAGUCUGCAAC
RNAcentral lists this ribosomal RNA (515 nucleotides) under uncultured bacterium. Its description in RNAcentral is "bacterial SSU rRNA". It matches the Rfam family "Bacterial small subunit ribosomal RNA", at positions 791 to 1311 of the family's 1533-position model. The record is from RNAcentral.